Molecule: ribosomal RNA, 331 nt
Filed under: uncultured eukaryote
Lineage: Eukaryota
Description: partial 18S ribosomal RNA
Rfam family: Eukaryotic small subunit ribosomal RNA
Source: RNAcentral
CCCUUAGAUGUUCUGGGCCGCACGCGCGCUACACUGUUCGACGCAGCGAGUCUUAACCUUGACCGAAAGGUUUGGGUAAUCUUCAGCAAAGUCGAACGUGAUGGGGAUCGAUCAUUGCAAUUAUUGAUCGUGAACGAGGAAUUCCUAGUAAGUGCAAGUCAUCAGCUUGCGCUGAUUACGUCCCUGCCCUUUGUACACACCGCCCGUCGCUACUACCGAUUGAAUGGUGUAGUGAGAUCUCUGGAUUGACGCUGGCUAGGGGGCGACCCUUGGCCAGACUGUUGAGAAACUGCUCAAACUUGAUCAUUUAGAGGAAGUAAAAGUCGUAACA